Molecule: long non-coding RNA, 5282 nt
Filed under: Volvox carteri
Lineage: Eukaryota; Viridiplantae; Chlorophyta; Chlorophyceae; Chlamydomonadales; Volvocaceae
Description: long non-coding RNA (VCAR_LNC000358)
Source: RNAcentral
ACAAAUCUGCCGUACUCCGAUAGCCAUAUCGGAGUACGACAGCGUCUUGAUGCCCCACGUAAAACACAUAAGAGCCCGACCCUCGCCCCCAUCUUACCUCCAUUCCCGGCUGGACGUCGGCCCCAUCUUCCGAGGCCUGCUGCACGUGCAGCACAUGGAUGGGAACAUGACAAUUAGCAUCAGGAACAAGAAAGAGGGCAACGGGUAACGAAUCCACAACGAAACACACAAACGUGGCACAGAUGUGGCCCACCACUACCUGCCUACAUCAAACAAAUCUGCCGUACUCCGAUAGCCAUAUCGGAGUACGACAGCGUCUUGAUGCCCCACGUAAAACACAUAAGAGCCCCGACCCUCGCCCCCAUCUUACCUCCAUUCCCGGCUGGACGUUGGCCCCAUCUUCCGAGGCCUGCUGCACGUGCAGCACAUGGAUGGGAACAUGACAAUUAGCAUCAGGAACAAGAAAGAGGGCAACGGGUAACGAUUCCACAACGAAACGCACAACCGUGGCACAGAUGUGGCCCACCACUACCUGCCUACAUUGGGACAUUGGACAUUGAAGCCAUAAUAGCCAAAGCCGUACAUGAGCGGUUAUGUCAGCCAAUUGCAUGGAAACCUCGUCGGUCGUAAUUUUGUUCAGUAAACCUGACAAGGUUUUAAAUGAUUUCGGCCGACUUUCGGAUAUUGUGGCAUGGACCCACUACAUUGGCGGACCUGGUCGACCAGGUCGAUCAACGUCGGCCUCGGGUAACCUUGCCUAUGUACUUAUUUGUUCAUCAACUAUAUUAUACUUUGUGCUGGAACAAUCGGCGUUCCUUUGGGCCAUGACCAUGACUACCAAUGGUCAUGUUACAUCGGAGCACCAAAACAAGUGGCAAACACCCUAAGUAACCUAAAUUUCACUUAUGAUAAGUUCACCGGCUAUAUUCAUGCUUCCCAAUGUGCUUUCGGGGCUGCACGUCAAAAGUAACCUCGUCCAGACAACCGUCCCGUAGCUGCUGAGCCUUGGGCGCUACACGUCUCUGGACUGCCAAAUGGCCGUAGGUAGGGAGCAAAUCGUAAGGACAAAUAAUGCCUCCCUACACUCAUAUUUGAUGGCAAACAUGUUAACUAACCUCGUCAUAACAUUUCACACACUCAGCGCGCAUAUCUGUGCCUAAUUAUGACACUUUCAAGGUUGCACAUUUAUCAAGCUUCUAGCUGGCGAGUAACCUGUCCAGACAACUGCCCCGUAGCUACCGAGCCUGACGAGUUACACGUCUCCGGACUGCCAUAGGGUUGCAUGGUACACAUGCAUACCCUUGUGCAAGGGUACACAUUUAGUGCUAAACAUACCAUACCAUGCAUUCCACCGAUACCGUGAUAGCGAUGAUAAGCAUGUAUCUCACCAGGCGAGAGCAAAUAAAACGUGCCUCUAUGGCGAUGGGGAGUCGAAGGCAACGUUGAGUUAACUCUGCAGUAGCUGGUACAUAGAUUGCACACAUCAUUUACAAAUACAGCUAAUGAUAUUCAGAGCCAUAUUUAACGUCCAGCUACUACAAUGGUAUGAAGACCUCAGGUGUAAGGCUCACACAUGGUUGCGAUCUGCAUGUUGCCAGCUGGCAGCUGCCAACUGCAGUUCUGUGCUCCUGUCUCCCUUAACCGUAUUCUCAUGGCUAUGUCGACUCGAACAUGCUGGCUGACAGUGCGAGGAAUGAUAGAGGCGGAAAACCGGGAGACAGGCUGCCAAGGGCCCUUACACUGCAGUAGAACACAACUCAAGCCAACCGAAUGGCCGCGCGAAAGCGGCCCCUACGGCCACCGCACCGGUGCCGCGCGGCCAACAACACACACACACACACCCAGGAAAAAACGCGCGCGCGACAGACAACACGAGACGCUAGGCCAAAGGACGCCCAACGACCACCACUACCAAACACGAAACGGCGACCCUAACGUGCUAAAGCCCGACCAAGGAGACCGACUGAAACCAAAGCGAAGAGCGCCCUCUCCACGGACUCCCAAGACCACUCAACAAGGCUAAAACGACCCAACUGCAGCCAGAACGGCCUCAAGUCUCUGCUGUCGACCCGCCUGCUGACAAGCCACUCCUCAGCGGGCGUCGUCUACCUGUCCGCCGCUAGCCGAGCCCGGUGCGGAGGUGCCUGAAACUGGUCAGUGAAGAAGGAAAAAAAGAGGGGAGGGGUGAACGAAGAGAUAUCGACCCCGAAGCGAAGGGGGGAAGGUGGGCGGGAAGCUGUCAGCUAUAAGCUGAAGCUCUACUGAGUGAAAGGCAGAAUGCCUGAAACGAAAGAGCUGAAGCAAUUAAUACUCGCCAUUCCAAUACGGUUGUACGACAGUCGCACAGAACCAGACUUAGAGACUCCGAUCGCUUCGCUCCGUCGUAUCUAAGUCAACAAUUUGACCCAGACAAAGCAAACACCAUUACUUAGCGGAUUGGUAAAUACUAGGUCACCCAUGACGACCAUUUUUACGAUUAUCGUGACAAUAUGUAUACAUUUCCCAGCUACAUAGCUGAGAAGACUUUGUGCCUGAAAACCUUAAGACAGCUAGGCACAUGACGUGGCAUGGAUGGAUCAUUCCUUUUCCUGCACAUAGCACCAGAACAUGUAUACAGCUGUACAUGUGUGUAUGCAUGUCGACCACUGAUCUAUUGGUGCAUGAAUUAUGUUCACGUGAGCAUUUAAAUGCAUGGAAAUUUCCAUGCAUGGCCACUGUGAAGACCAUGCAUGACCAACGGGAGGGGUGGAUAAGUCUGCCGCCCAUUGGUGCACAUGCGGUGUAGAUACUCCAGGGGGCUGGGAGCUCCCAGCCCCCUAUGGUGUCUCGAGAGACCAUUUGCACUCCACAAAAACCCUAAGACAUCCCUUCUGAAUAUUGUAUCCAUGCCGCUUAUUGGCUGGUGCUGUCUGUGCUGACUUCAUGACAUGUGCCAAUUUGCUUUUCUGCAUUUGGUUUUCUGCUGACGCAGCAGCAACUGACUCACAAUUGGAGGCCACAAGCACUAUGGCGGCCAAAGGCGGCCACCAGCCCACCACUACCAAGGUGGCGCUCAUUACCACGCUAUCGGGUAUUGCAGGAGUCGCUGUCCUGGUUGCAGUGAUCAUCGUCAGCGUAAAAUUGGCCAGAGCUAGGCGCAAGAUGAGGACAGCACCUGUGAUCAACAUACCAUCACCUGCCCAUCAUGCAGCAGCUCCUGCAUGGACAUAGGCUCUCUCAUACUCACCUAUGUGCUCGGACAAUCAUAACAAAUCACACAUAAGUGCAUACAUCCACUGCAUGCAUCACACACAGGUUUUGGGUAAACAUAAAUGUUUGUGGCGCCAGCAGCGGUAGUAGUAUGUCAUCAUUGCAAAUGUGUACAGUAUGCUCCAUGUAGAUGCAUGCAUAUACAUACACUCUGGGAAAGGUUUUCACCCGUAAAUUCAUGUUUACCCGUAAUCACGUGGUCUUCACAUGUAAUUACCGGCCAAGAAAAUUUGUACACAUGCUUAUUUUUAAGUUGCCAAAGCAUUCCUUUUAUAAGGAAUAACACAGGUGACAUUUUGUUGGUUGCCCGUGCUGGAAGUCAUCCACAGGUUACAUUACCCGUAAUCACAAGGUCUUGACCCGUAAUCCCCCAAGCCGUAAUGCACAGCACCCGUAAAAUUUCACGGGCUUAAUUGCGACGAAGACGUGUUAUGUGUGUGUGUGUGUGUUACAUGGUUGGGGGUGCGUGACCCCAUACCUGUAAGAUUACCCAUACGAGCCGAGGGCCCAAGGGUAAUACUACAACGCCUAAAAGCCACGGAGGAAAGGAAAACACCGCACAUCAGCCCAGACUAGCGUCUAAAGGGGGUAAUUGAGUUUCGGUGAGCCCACAUACGUUCCAAUUUCCUCGCCAGACGUGCGGGUUCCCAUUGCAUGGCCUCCAACAUGCUCUGUUGAUGAUCGAAUCCUUCUUCAGCACGAAUAUCAUUAUAGGCUGGCAUNNNNNNNNNNNNNNNNNNNNNNNNNNNNNNNNNNNNNNNNNNNNNNNNNNNNNNNNNNNNNNNNNNNNNNNNNNNNNNNNNNNNNNNNNNNNNNNNNNNNNNNNNNNNNNNNNNNNNNNNNNNNNNNNNNNNNNNNNNNNNNNGAAACACACAAACGUGGCACAGAUGUGGCCCACCACUACCUGCCUACAUCAAACAAAUCUGCCGUACUCCGAUAGCCAUAUCGGAGUACGACAGCGUCUUGAUGCCCCACGUAAAACACAUAAGAGCCCCGACCCUCGCCCCCAUCUUACCUCCAUUCCCGGCUGGACGUUGGCCCCAUCUUCCGAGGCCUGCUGCACGUGCAGCACAUGGAUGGGAACAUGACAAUUAGCAUCAGGAACAAGAAAGAGGGCAACGGGUAACGAUUCCACAACGAAACGCACAACCGUGGCACAGAUGUGGCCCACCACUACCUGCCUACAUUGGGACAUUGGACAUUGAAGCCAUAAUAGCCAAAGCCGUACAUGAGCGGUUAUGUCAGCCAAUUGCAUGGAAACCUCGUCGGUCGUAAUUUUGUUCAGUAAACCUGACAAGGUUUUAAAUGAUUUCGGCCGACUUUCGGAUAUUGUGGCAUGGACCCACUACAUUGGCGGACCUGGUCGACCAGGUCGAUCAACGUCGGCCUCGGGUAACCUUGCCUAUGUACUUAUUUGUUCAUCAACUAUAUUAUACUUUGUGCUGGAACAAUCGGCGUUCCUUUGGGCCAUGACCAUGACUACCAAUGGUCAUGUUACAUCGGAGCACCAAAACAAGUGGCAAACACCCUAAGUAACCUAAAUUUCACUUAUGAUAAGUUCACCGGCUAUAUUCAUGCUUCCCAAUGUGCUUUCGGGGCUGCACGUCAAAAGUAACCUCGUCCAGACAACCGUCCCGUAGCUGCUGAGCCUUGGGCGCUACACGUCUCUGGACUGCCAAAUGGCCGUAGGUAGGGAGCAAAUCGUAAGGACAAAUAAUGCCUCCCUACACUCAUAUUUGAUGGCAAACAUGUUAACUAACCUCGUCAUAACAUUUCACACACUCAGCGCGCAUAUCUGUGCCUAAUUAUGACACUUUCAAGGUUGCACAUUUAUCAAGCUUCUAGCUGGCGAGUAACCUGUCCAGACAACUGCCCCGUAGCUACCGAGCCUGACGAGUUACACGUCUCCGGACUGCCAUAGGGUUGCAUGGUACACAUGCAUACCCUUGUGCAAGGGUACACAUUUAGUGCUAAACAUACCAUACCAUGCAUUCCACCGAUACCGUGAUAGCGAUGAUAAGCAUGUAUCUCNN